GAGAAAGAGCGGAUCCCCCCCACCCCCCGCCCGCCGCCCCCUGCCAGACGCGGCGCUGCGCAGGGUCCUAGUGCCCGCUGUGCGGAGGGCUCCUGAAUCUGGCCACUUCGCUGGGAGGCCCUGUGCUCCCAGUGUCACCCGAAGGGCCUGAGGAGGCCACCUGCAGAAUUUGACCAAUCACUAAGACAGAGGAGCCCAGGGUGGUGUCUCAUGAAGGGACCCUCCCCUGCCCUCAUCUUCAGCCCUCACCUCGGUACUGGAAGACGUCAUGCAUGUCCAAGGGCACUCCGGGGAAUAUCCGGUCCACCUCUCUGGCGCUCUGGGGAUCCACCAUCUGCGUCUUCACGUCGAACCUGCGGGCAGGCGCCGAGGAGACAGGUGCUGAGGCGGCGGGCGGGCGGGCGGCGGACGGCGCCCGGGCUCCCCCUGCCGGCGGCCGCGGCGGCGCUCACCUCCAGACGCGCCUCCCGCUGAACAGCAGCAUCUUUCCCGCGCCGCGCGGGAGGGCCCCGGUCACCUGAGCCACGUCGGGGCCAAGGCCCAGCUUGUCCAAGCGCCUCGGGCCCAGCACCGACGCGCCUGUGUACACCCACACCUGGCGCCCUGCAGGGGAGGAGGGUCACGUCGGUCUGGGGGCGCAGAGUGCGCACGCACUCUUCUAGAACGCGAGGAAGGAGAUCCGGCGAGGCCUUUCCCAGCCCGCGUGCCCGCAGUCCCUGCACUGCAGGGCCAGAGGCGCUGGGUCGGGGGGCGCAAGGGCGUGGAGAGGAGGGGGCAGAAUCUCAGCCGCCCCGACGUUUGCUAAACUGCGUCCGCCAGGGGGCGUCUUUUUCUAAAACGCACAAGACGUUUCGUGGGUUAUCGAUGGUCUCUUGGGCCUCCUUGACUGAUGGGGAUUGACGCGGCGGCGGAGAGGGAGAAGGGAACUAACCAGAGAAGAAGAAAAGCUUCUUGGAGAGCGGCUCCUCAAAGGCCGAGUCCAGCUUGCGGGGCAGCGCGGGCCACGUGUCGGCGACAGGGAAGGGGCCCUGCGGCCGGCUCCCCCUGCCCUCAGAGAAUCGCCAGUACCUCCUGAGGACGCGAGGAGGGAAAGGACGGGCUCUGAGCCUUGCACCCAGGGCCCAUGGGCGGGGAGGGACAGGCAGCUCCUCCACCAGGCCCCCUCCCGCAUCCACACAUCCCUGCCUCCUCACCCAUCCUUGAAGAAAUACAGCUGGUUCCCAAUCUC
Sapajus apella (tufted capuchin) is the source of this 1228-nucleotide long non-coding RNA. RefSeq lists it as uncharacterized. Lineage: Eukaryota; Metazoa; Chordata; Mammalia; Primates; Cebidae. The record is from RefSeq and is a predicted model, not a curated record. The transcript is spliced from 2 exons.